Molecule: ribosomal RNA, 441 nt
Filed under: uncultured bacterium
Lineage: Bacteria
Description: bacterial SSU rRNA
Rfam family: Bacterial small subunit ribosomal RNA
Source: RNAcentral
GAUGAACGCUAGCGGCAGGCUUAACACAUGCAAGUCGAGGGGUAUAGUUCUUCGGAGCUAGAGACCGGCGCACGGGUGCGUAACGCGUAUGCAAUCUACCUUUUACAGAGGGAUAGCCCAGAGAAAUUUGGAUUAAUACCUCAUAGUAUGUGAGAAUCGCAUGGUUUUCACAUUAAAAGUUCCACGGUAAAAGAAUGAGCAUGCGUCCCAUUAGCUAGAUGGUAAGGUAACGGCUUACCAUGGCUACGAUGGGUAGGGGUCCUGAGAGGGAGAUCCCCCACACUGGUACUGAGACACGGACCAGACUCCUACGGGAGGCAGCAGUGAGGAAUAUUGGUCAAUGGGCGCAAGCCUGAACCAGCCAUGCCGCGUGCAGGAAGACGGUCCUAUGGAUUGUAAACUGCUUUUAUACAGGAAGAAACCCUACCCACGUGUGGGAGC